UCCUGGCAUUAAAAAUGGCACAACUGAUCUUAUGUCACUCAACAUCGUCAGGAGUGUCAAAAGAAUCAUUCAAUACUUUGAGCAUUUCUUUUGACUGAGCUUCCUCGAAUUUGUGACUAAACUCAUCGUUCAUAGCCACUCACAUAAUAUAAGGCACCGUGGUUCAAUCGUUGAGCCACUUCAAAUAUCUCGAACCAUACUACGAGUAUUGGGAGUGGGCUCUGUUGGAAAGGGUGCAGGGUUUCAUGCAUGAAUUUUAAAAUAUUUUUAAAAUAUAACAGUAGAACAUAUAAAUUAAAUAAUUUAAUCUAUAAAUGCAUGUAAUCAAAUUACUAAACCCUACAAUUAGGACCUAUAACAUGUCAUAUUAUAUUUAUAAAUCAGAAAAAUAAAAGCUUUGGUAUUGAU
This 408-nucleotide long non-coding RNA is filed under the name Elaeis guineensis (African oil palm). RNAcentral's name for it is "long non-coding RNA (EGUI_LNC049528)". Lineage: Eukaryota; Viridiplantae; Streptophyta; Magnoliopsida; Arecales; Arecaceae. The record is from RNAcentral.